This 351-nucleotide ribosomal RNA is filed under the name uncultured bacterium. Its description in RNAcentral is "bacterial SSU rRNA". It matches the Rfam family "Bacterial small subunit ribosomal RNA", at positions 8 to 350 of the family's 1533-position model. The record is from RNAcentral.
AGAGUUUGAUCAUGGCUCAGGAUGAACGCUAGCUACAGGCUUAACACAUGCAAGUCGAGGGGAAACGACAUCGAAAGCUUGCUUUUGAUGGGCGUCGACCGGCGCACGGGUGAGUAACGCGUAUCCAACCUGCCCACCACUUGGGGAUAACCUUGCGAAAGUAAGACUAAUACCCAAUGACGUCUCUAGAAGACAUCUGAAGGAGAUUAAAGAUUUAUCGGUGAUGGAUGGGGAUGCGUCUGAUUAGCUUGUUGGCGGGGUAACGGCCACCAAGGCGACGAUCAGUAGGGGUUCUGAGAGGAAGUCCCCCANAUUGGAACUGAGACACGGUCCAAAAUCCUACGGGAGGCA